GUCGAACGAAGUAGCAAUACUUAGUGGCAGACGGGUGAGUAACAUGUAGGUAUCUACCCUAUGGCCUGGAAUAACACGAGGAAACUUGUGCUAAUACCGGAUAAGUCUUUACAGAGAAAGCUUUAUGCACCAUUGGAUGAGCCUGCACUUGAUUAGUUUGUUGGUGGGGUAAUGGCCUACCAAGACUGUGAUCAAUAGCUGAUUUGAGAGGAUGAUCAGCCACAUUGGGACUGAGACACGGCCCAAACUCCUACGGGAGGCAGCAGUGGGGAAUCUUGCACAAUGGAGGAAACUCUGAUGCAGCGAUGCCGCGUGAGUGAAGAAGGCCUUUGGGUUGUAAAGCUCUUUCGUCGGGGAAGAAAAUGACUGUACCCGAAUAAGAAGGUCCGGCUAACUUCGUGCCAGCAGCCGCGGUAAUACGAAGGGACCUAGCGUAGUUCGGAAUUACUGGGCUUAAAGAGUUCGUAGGUGGUUGAAAAAGUUAGUGGUGAAAUCCCAGAGCUUAACUCUGGAACUGCCAUUAAAACUUUUCAGCUAGAGUAUGAUAGAGGAAAAGCAGAUUUUCUAGUGUAGAGG
RNAcentral lists this ribosomal RNA (576 nucleotides) under uncultured marine bacterium. Its description in RNAcentral is "bacterial SSU rRNA". It matches the Rfam family "Bacterial small subunit ribosomal RNA", at positions 61 to 681 of the family's 1533-position model. The record is from RNAcentral.